GCCUGCAGCCAUGCUACCUCAGGCUAUAAUCUUGAUCUUGCAAGCUGAAGUAGGGUCAGACCUAAUAUGUACUUGAAUCUGAGACCUCCAAGGAAAAGUUAGGGUGCUGGGGGGA
Molecule: ribosomal RNA, 115 nt
Filed under: Dromaius novaehollandiae (emu)
Lineage: Eukaryota; Metazoa; Chordata; Aves; Casuariiformes; Dromaiidae
Source: RNAcentral